AUAAAGCUCCAGCCUGGCAAAAAGGGUUUUAAUUGGUUUUAUUUAAUGCGAGGGUAUAAACAGUCUAGAUUCCGUUGGAUGAUCCUGAAAAUAGAGUUGACGGCAAAAAUUGAAACAAGACUUGAUGACUGGACAUAUAGGUAUGGUGGAUUGCUCAAGGAUCCCCUUUUGUGAUAGGAAAAUUUUGUGGUUGGUGUAUUGGAUGUCAAGGAUAUCUCCUGGAUAUUUUCUAGCUGGUUGAAUUGGUCAUAUUAGAUCUACAUA
Long non-coding RNA from Erigeron canadensis, 264 nucleotides. RefSeq lists it as uncharacterized. The record is from RefSeq and is a predicted model, not a curated record. The transcript has 3 exons. NCBI's taxonomy places the organism in Eukaryota, Viridiplantae, Streptophyta, Magnoliopsida, Asterales, Asteraceae.